Molecule: transfer RNA, 64 nt
Filed under: Tritonia tetraquetra
Lineage: Eukaryota; Metazoa; Mollusca; Gastropoda; Nudibranchia; Tritoniidae
Description: tRNA-Tyr
Source: RNAcentral
AUUUUGAUGGCUGAAAUUUAGGCGAUAGAUUGUAAAUCUAUAUAUGACUUAAAAGUCUCUUGUA